UGGAGCAGAGGCUCUGGCAGCUUUUGCAGCGUUUAUAUAACAUGAAAUAUAUAUACGCAUUCCG
Non-coding RNA from Drosophila melanogaster (fruit fly), 64 nucleotides. Lineage: Eukaryota; Metazoa; Arthropoda; Insecta; Diptera; Drosophilidae. The record is from Rfam.